GAACAAGUACCGCGAGGGAAAGUUGAAAAGAACUUUGAAGAGAGAGUUCAAGAGUACGUGAAACCGUUCAGGGGUAAACCUGAGAAACCCAAAAGAUCGAAUGGGGAGAUUCAUCGUCGACGAAGCUGGCUUCCGUUGGUGCGCAGAUACCCCGCUUAUGGACCUUCGUGGUUCCAAUGAGCGAGGGUACACCGCCUUCGGCCUAAAUGUUCCGGCAACGUACUCGUGCACUUCUCCCUUAGUAGAACGUCGCGACCCGUUGCGUGUCGGUCUACGGCCCGAGUGGUUGCCUGCCGCGUCGCCUUUGGCGCACGCGACAGACCCUCGGUCGCCCGGCCGGCUGCGCGACGGUACUCUGACGGUAUCGGGCCGCAACCAAUCCAUUUUCGAAUGUGUGUGCGUCAGGCCCGCCGCAAGCUCGAUCAGUAUACCCUCGGAGGUACGGACCUGGUGCCGGCUCCGAGCCUGGUCAGCUGUUGGCAGGCGGUGUCCUCGGACUGGCCAAGCUUCGAAUUACCGGUCGGCGACGCUACUGCUUUGGGUACUCU
This 548-nucleotide ribosomal RNA is filed under the name Apoidea sp. 0617A120. RNAcentral's name for it is "eukaryotic LSU rRNA". It matches the Rfam family "Eukaryotic large subunit ribosomal RNA", at positions 342 to 632 of the family's 3401-position model. Lineage: Eukaryota; Metazoa; Arthropoda; Insecta; Hymenoptera. The record is from RNAcentral.